UACAGAGGUCCCGAGCGUUGUUCGGAUUUAUUGGGCGUAAAGGGUGCGUAGGCGGCGGAGUAAGUUGGGUGUGAAAUCCCGGGGCUUAACCUCGGAAUGGCAUUCAAUACUGCUUCGCUAGAGUACUGGAGAGGAGGCUGGAAUUUACGGUGUAGCAGUGAAAUGCGUAGAUAUCGUAAGGAAGGCCGGUGGCGAAAGCGAGCCUCUGGACAGUUACUGACGCUGAUGCACGAAGGCCAGGGAAGCAAACGGG
RNAcentral lists this ribosomal RNA (253 nucleotides) under uncultured bacterium. RNAcentral describes it as "partial 16S ribosomal RNA". It matches the Rfam family "Bacterial small subunit ribosomal RNA", at positions 524 to 776 of the family's 1533-position model. The record is from RNAcentral.